RNAcentral lists this ribosomal RNA (121 nucleotides) under Esox lucius (northern pike). The record is from RNAcentral. Lineage: Eukaryota; Metazoa; Chordata; Actinopteri; Esociformes; Esocidae.
GCUUACGGCCACAACCGUCCCUGAGCAAGCCCGAUCUCGUCUGAUCUCGGAAGCUAAGCAGGGUCGGGCCCGGUUAGUACUUGGAUGGGAGACCGCCUGGGAAUACCAGGUGCUGUAAGCC